RNAcentral lists this ribosomal RNA (2888 nucleotides) under gut metagenome. RNAcentral describes it as "bacterial LSU rRNA". It matches the Rfam family "Bacterial large subunit ribosomal RNA". The record is from RNAcentral.
AGAAGGGCACAUGAAGGAUGCCUUGGCUCUCGGAGGCGAAGAAGGACGUGACAAGCUGCGAAAAGCCGCGCUUAGGAGCAAAUAUCCCUUGAAGCGCGGAUGUCCGAAUGGGGCAACCCAUCAGGCUGCAGAGCCUGAUACCGACACAGUCGGGGCCAACCCGGGGAACUGAAACAUCUCAGUACCCGGAGGAAAAGAAAACAAAAGUGAUUGCGCAAGUAGUGGCGAGCGAACGCGCAACAGCCCAAACCGCAGGUGUAGCAAUGCAUGUUGCGGGGUUGUAGGACCGCCAACAAAGUGAAGACAGAAGUUAGGAGAACGGCUUGGAAAAGCCGGCCACAGAGGGUGAAAGCCCCGUAACCGAAAACGGAAGUCUGAGCGAGGCGGCACCUGAGUAGUGCGGAACACGUGAAAUUCUGCAUGAAUCCGCGGGGACCAUCCCGUAAGGCUAAAUACUACCGAGAGACCGAUAGCGAACCAGUACCGUGAGGGAAAGGUGAAAAGAACCCCGAACAGGGGAGUGAAACAGACCCUGAAAUCAUGUGCCUACAAGCGGUCGGAGCCACUACGUGUGGUGACGGCGUGCCUUUUGCAUAAUGAUCCUACGAGUUGCCAAGUGCGGCAAGGUUAAGUGCGAACAGACGCACGCAGCCGAAGCGAAAGCGAGUCAGAAUAUGGCGGCAUAGUCACACUGGGCAGACGCGAAACCAAGUGAUCUACCCUUGGGCAGGUUGAAGGACAGGUAACACUGUCUGGAGGACCGAACCGGUAAGCGUUGAAAAGCUUUCGGAUGACCUGAGGGUAGGAGUGAAAGGCCAAUCAAACUUGGAGAUAGCUCGUACUCCCCGAAAUGCAUUUAGGUGCAGCCUCGGGCGCAGUACCGUGGAGGUAGAGCGACUGAUAGGAUGCGAGGGCUUCACCGCCUAUCAAGUCCUGACAAACUCCGAAUGCCACGGCACGAUCCCCGGGAGUGAGGGCGCGGGUGCUAAGGUCCGCGUCCGAGAGAGGAACAACUCAGACCACCGGCUAAGGCCCCCAAAUACGGGCCGAGUUGAAGACAAUAACGCGGUGGGGUCGCAGAGACAGCUAGGAUGUUGGCUUGGAAGCAGCCAUUCAUUUAAAGAGUGCGUAACAGCUCACUAGUCGAGUGAUCCCGCAUGGAUAAUAAUCGGGCAUAAGUCCGUUGCCGAAGCCGUGGAAUCCGACGAUAGUCGGAUUGGUAGGGGAGCAUUCCGGCAGCCGCAGAAGGUGAGGCGCGAGCCUUGCUGGAGGAACCGGAAAAGCAAAUGUAGGAAUAAGUAACGAUAAGGAGGGCGAGAAACCCUCCCGCCGAAAGACCAAGGGUUCCUGAUCAACGCUAAUCGGAUCAGGGUAAGUCGGGGCCUAAGGAGGAGCCGCAAGGCGCAUCCGAUGGACAAACGGUCAAGAUUCCGUUACCCGGACAGGUAACGAUGCGGAGACGGAGAAGUGACACUUCCGCGCACUGACGGAAUAGUGCGUUGAAGCGCGUAGGUGUUGAGAGGUGCAGUAAAGUACACACCUUGAGCUGAAACGCGACAGUACGGCAAUCCCCCGGGGAGCGCCGAUAGCGAAGGUAACCAGGCUCCCAAGAAAAACCGCUAAGUAUAUACCGGUCCGGCCCGUACCGCAAACCGACACAGGUGGUCGGGUAGAAGAUACCAAGGCGCUCGAGAGAUUCACGGUUAAGGAACUAGGCAAAUUGACCCCGUAACUUCGGAAUAAGGGGUCCCGUCCUCCGGGACGGGCGCAGAGAAUAGGUCCAGGCAACUGUUUAACAAAAACACAGGGCUGUGCAAAGUUUAAAGACGACGUAUACAGCCUGACACCUGCCCGGUGCCGGAAGGUUAAGAGGAGACGUCAUCGCAAGAGAAGCGUUGAAUUGAAGCCCCGGUAAACGGCGGCCGUAACUAUAACGGUCCUAAGGUAGCGAAAUUCCUUGUCGGGUAAGUUCCGACCUGCACGAAUGGUGUAAUGAUCCGGACACUGUCUCAACCGUGAGCUCGGUGAAAUUGUAGUAUCGGUGAAGAUGCCGAUUACCCGCAACGGGACGAAAAGACCCCGUGAACCUUUACUACAGCUUAGCACUGUGACCGGGUGCGAGAUGUGUAGGAUAGUCAGGAGACUAUGAAGCAGGAACGCCAGUUUCUGUGGAGUCGACGUUGAAAUACUGACCUUCUCGCAUUUGGUUUCUAACUCCAAGGUGGAGGACACUGCUUGGCGGGUAGUUUGACUGGGGUGGUCGCCUCCAAAAGAGUAACGGAGGCUUCUAAAGGUGCGCUCAGGCCGAUUGGUAACCGGCCGCAGAGUGUAAUGGCACAAGCGCGCUUGACUGGGAGGCCGACAAGCCGAUCAGGUAGGAAACUAGAGCAUAGUGAUCCGGUGGUUCCGCAUGGAAGGGCCAUCGCUCAAAGGAUAAAAGGUACUCCGGGGAUAACAGGCUGAUCCCUCCCAAGAGCUCAUAUCGACGGAGUGGUUUGGCACCUCGAUGUCGGCUCGUCACAUCCCGGGGCUGGAGAAGGUCCCAAGGGUUAGGCUGUUCGCCUAUUAAAGUGGCACGCGAGCUGGGUUCAGAACGUCGUGAGACAGUUCGGUCUCUAUCUGUUGUGGGCGCAGGAGAUUUGCGAGGACCCGACACUAGUACGAGAGGACCGUGUUGGACAGACCUCCGGUGUAUCGGUUGUUCCGCCAGGAGCACAGCCGAGUAGCCGCGUCUGGCAAGGAUAAGUGCUGAAAGCAUCUAAGCACGAAGCCCCCCUCAAGAUAAGAUCUCCACACAAGGGCCGUCAAAGACGAUGACGUAGAUAGGUCGCAGGUGUAAGUGCGGUAACGUACCAGCCGAGCGAUACUAAUCGCCCAAACCCUUUCCG